UGUGUGGCUGAGGGAGACUAUGGAUGACAGAGAAAAUGUUAGAGUGAGAGAGAUGAAAGAGAAAGGGUUGAGAGGAAUGAGGGAGGUGAGGAUGGGUUUGGGGGUUUGAUUUUUUUUUUUUAGUUUUGAGAAUGAAAAUUAUUUAAAUAUCGUUGACCUUAAAACGUAGAAUCCAUGAUAAAUGAGGGUAUUUUUGUCUACUAUAAUCCGGUACACAUUGUUAAAACGUACCAACUCAAAAACAA
Molecule: long non-coding RNA, 245 nt
Filed under: Vigna radiata
Lineage: Eukaryota; Viridiplantae; Streptophyta; Magnoliopsida; Fabales; Fabaceae
Description: long non-coding RNA (VRAD_LNC003078)
Source: RNAcentral